AGCUUUGCGCAGUGGCAGUAUCGUAGCCAAUGAGGUUUAUCCGAGGCGCGAUUAUUGCUAAUUGAAAACCAGACCUAAAUAUUCAGAUUAAAAAACAAAAACAAAAACAAAAAAACCCUUAAAUUACAGAACCAUUUCU
Small nuclear RNA from Mustela erminea (ermine), 139 nucleotides. RefSeq annotates it as U4 spliceosomal RNA. Lineage: Eukaryota; Metazoa; Chordata; Mammalia; Carnivora; Mustelidae. The transcript has a single exon. The record is from RefSeq and is a predicted model, not a curated record.